This is a long non-coding RNA of Ornithorhynchus anatinus (platypus), 337 nucleotides long. RefSeq lists it as uncharacterized. Lineage: Eukaryota; Metazoa; Chordata; Mammalia; Monotremata; Ornithorhynchidae. The transcript has 4 exons. The record is from RefSeq and is a predicted model, not a curated record.
CUCAGCAAAGUUUCCAACUGGGAAGAUGUGGGAGCUCGUAGCUUCCACCCUCUCCACCAUGGAGAGAGCAGCAAUAGCUCUGAUUCUGAUGUGCCUCUGUCUGCUUCUUGGAAGGGGGGAGACCCGCCUCCCACCCCCGCAGGACAAAAAAGGCCACUCUUCUCCUCGUAAUCUUGCCCCAAAUACUGGACCUUGCAAGAUUCAAUGACUGAAUUUCCAUCACUUUCAGCAAAUCUAAUCCAAUCGAUGAAAAACGUAUUCCACCAAGACUAUCUACAGGAUCUGGAAGAAUUGUCUAGAACAAAACAAGUAACCAAAACAACCAGCCUUAAUAGAG